GUAGAAGACACUGUGAGCUGGGAAAUGCGGCCCACGAGGAGAUCACCAGGGGAAGGAUGACAGGCACCCGUGUCGCAUUCAUCUCGAGCUUUCGAGUAACGGAGCCACCCUGAACAGAAACAGAAUCAGCCACACGGAAGGCAGCCCAAGGGCAGCACCAGGCCUGAGAAGCAAACUGGCUAAGUGGAAUGCGGAAUUUAUUUUUAAUACCAGUUCUGUGGCUUUCUAAGCCUCACCUCAUGGAUGCUGUGAGUCCUGUAGCCUGGUGGCAAAUUCCUGAUGGAGAUCACACCACCUGAAUUCCCUGGCCUCACCUAGGCAGCCUGUAGCCAAUGAUGGAUAGAGAGUUUGAAAGGCUGCUAUGAACUCCACUGUGUGAUUCAUGCCCAGCACCUCCUCCUGGCAUCUGGCUAAGCCGACUCCAGCUGGGACCGUGGCCUGGGUCUGUCCCCUCCACCUCUUGCUCCUGAGAGCACUCUGGAUAAGUUAGUGCACAUAAAUCCCUGCCUCCUUUCUGCCUGAGUCAGCGUCCCUGGGAACUCUUCAUGUAUCAUUUUAGGACAGACAAUGACUAAUUCAUGGACAGUAGGACAAGGAAUCCAAAUCCUACCUCAUAUAUCUGUGGUUCCAAUCUGUACAAAUUACAGAGAAGAACUGAAGAAAUCUUUGGGAAAUAACUUUCCUUUAUAGUAUAUAAAUUUGGUGGAAUCGUUUAAAUACACGGAUUAUUGGGUUUGGCUACACCAUGGAACAAAUCAUGCCCCUUUAAAGACAGAGUUCUAGUUUGAAUGGCAAACAGUCCAUCUGGUCACCCAUUUCCCUGUGGACCUGCCGGGAAGGGAUGUGGUCAGUCAUGAGAGAAGAGCAUCCCAUGAGCAACAUUAUCUCAACAGCACAUCACCCUCUACUUUGCUAUUCAUGGAUAGCCUCUGAGACAAUAUCUAUAAGUCACUGCUUUAAAAAAAAUUGUAUUUGCUUAAAAGUUCCUUGUUCCGAAUACAAGACAAAGUAAUCAGACUCUACUAAUAUAAAUGCGCAUGCUCAAAUCACCAGCCAGACAAUGCCUACACCAAAGACAAGGUACAGUCAACUUGGGAAGUUGACCACAGGCAACUGGAGAUUUGGUUUCAAACAGGGCAAAGACUGGGA
This 1149-nucleotide long non-coding RNA is filed under the name Fukomys damarensis (Damara mole-rat). RNAcentral describes it as "lncRNA (ENSFDAG00000024780.1)". Lineage: Eukaryota; Metazoa; Chordata; Mammalia; Rodentia; Bathyergidae. The record is from RNAcentral.